UGCUCGGUGAUUAGAGCCAAUUACAUUGGCAAUAUACGCUACACUAACUUUAUUUUGAUGAAAAGUUUGUAUAUGAGAGCU
Small nucleolar RNA from Lolium rigidum, 81 nucleotides. RefSeq annotates it as small nucleolar RNA U54. The transcript has a single exon. Lineage: Eukaryota; Viridiplantae; Streptophyta; Magnoliopsida; Poales; Poaceae. The record is from RefSeq and is a predicted model, not a curated record.